This is a microRNA precursor of Chlorocebus sabaeus (green monkey), 60 nucleotides long. The record is from Ensembl. Lineage: Eukaryota; Metazoa; Chordata; Mammalia; Primates; Cercopithecidae.
CAAUAUGUUCAAAACUGAAAGGAGAUCAAGAGGUAACUUUCAGGUUUUGAACAUAGAGGU